CUCCGCAGACGCCCUGGUGCAGUUCUCACUUCCUCAGCACCACAGCUCACUGCUCACACGCGUACAAAUCGCACACCAAACAAAAACAAAGUAAAUGUUGUUGUUGCUGAGGCUGCUAGAACAAAAUAAAUGACGGCUCACUCCCUCCACUGCCGCUUGGCCGCCAGUAAGGAAACGUUAUGGUGGACUCAUUCUUCAAGAUGAGAGUCAAACACCGCAUUGGCCACCUUGAUUCUAAAGAGCUCGACUGGUGAUAUAACUGGACAUUCAGUCGUGUUAUUAAUAUGUCCUCAAUAUACGAAAUAAAAUAUUGGGAGAGAGUUGUAUAAGACCGGUAUACAAAUACGCUGAAACAUUUAGGUUUGAUGAAAAACAUUAACUGCUAACUUGACUGUCUUGUGUAGUUGCCAUAUAGUACUCGUAUAUAUUAAGUUUUCACUGGGAACAUUGUGGCGAGUUUAUUGUUAGAGUGCUCAAUGCUCAUUUUAGUGACGUGUAUUGAAGACCACAACAUUCUUGGACCAAGCAGCAGGUGCAGGAGGACGAGGCCUGACAGCUGAUGGUUUAAAGGGCUAGCUGGCUCGAAGUUCCUCGCCAGGUCAGCGGAGGCUAAAAGGUUAGCCUUUUAGUCAUGACAUAGACAAAAGUGCUUCGAAUGCACUCCAUGGCGGGGUGUUGGAGUCACUGAUCGAGGGCGACCCGCUGACCCUGUACUGCGUCGCAUCGGGUGUGAUGGCGUGACAGCUGGUGAUAGAGCGAUGGUCUGGCAGUGCUGCACUAAUGUUGCCUGAAGUGACUGCCAAAGUGUUCGUUCGCAUGUCAUCAGGUGGCAAUGAAAGAGCCAGAAUCCGAGACACUCACUGUAGUCUAGUAAUGGCUGUUGUUGAAGCAGCGCUGUCAAGCCUGCCCGGCGCUGUAUGCCUGCCUGCACAUAUCUGUAUCCUCACCACGAUGCUGCAGGUGCUGAGCUGCGAACGGUGCCGGCCCCACAUAUUCUUCCCCGUCCGGACACCAAAAUAAACAAGAUCACCAGAGAAAAUAAUAUAUUCGUGUAAUAUAUUUCAACGUUCAUAUAUAUUUUUUAUUUUGUUAUUCAUUUAUGUAUUUGUUUAUUUAUUUAUUUUUGUAAAAGCAAUGAUAUUACGAUGUUUCAGUAUAUUACAGAUGCAAUAAAUGCGUUAGCUGGAUGUAAUGCAGGCGUUAAUUAUCACAUAUUUAUUUCUAUAGAUGCUUCAUGCACUUGAUACUUUCACUCGUAUAAAUAUUAAACAACAUUUUUAUUCGUAAUGCAAUAUUACAAGGCAGAAUAUUAGAGCAAACCCUUCUGGCAACGCUCGUGGAGGACCCUGAUGCGAGACUCUCUUUGGCCUGACGUCGUGCCUUGCUUCCUGCAGCGAAUCUUUGUACCCAAUCCGUCACUUCGAGGGAUGCCCUUUGUGUAUCUUUCGGGGAUCUGUGUCGGUGCCUCCUCUUCGCUGCCCUUCCUUCCCCCGCCGCCUGGGGAUGAUGGUGAAGGUGGCAUGCGUCCUUCUAUUUUUCUUCCUCUCCUCUGUUGCUUUCUUUCACUUUUCCGGGUCCCUGAAAGGUGGUGGCAUGUGUUGGUGACUCCUUUUCCAUCUUCCUCCCUCUCCU
This is a long non-coding RNA of Scylla paramamosain (green mud crab), 1632 nucleotides long. RefSeq lists it as uncharacterized. Lineage: Eukaryota; Metazoa; Arthropoda; Malacostraca; Decapoda; Portunidae. The record is from RefSeq and is a predicted model, not a curated record. The transcript has 5 exons.